Molecule: ribosomal RNA, 567 nt
Filed under: Triticum aestivum (bread wheat)
Lineage: Eukaryota; Viridiplantae; Streptophyta; Magnoliopsida; Poales; Poaceae
Description: partial small subunit ribosomal RNA
Source: RNAcentral
AUGUCGACGGCCCCUGCCGGCAACGACGUGGAGCCGGAGGAGGUGCAGGAGGAGGAGGAGGAAGGCGGCGGCAGCGGCAACCCGAGGCGCUGCGCAGCGUGCAAGUACCUGCGCCGGCGGUGCGGCCACGGCUGCGUGCUCGCCCCCUACUUCCCGGCGUCCCGCCCCCGCCGCUACGCCAACGUCCACCGGGUCUUCGGCGCCAGCAACGUUGCCAGGUUGCUCCAGAGCUUGCCCGUGGAGGAGAGAGCGCAGGCGGCUGAGACGAUGGCGAUGGAGGCGCAGUGGCGGGUAGGGGACCCGGUGUACGGCUGCGCCGGGGUCAUCAACCGGCUGCAGGAAGAGAUCCUCGCCACGCAGUGCGAGCUCGCCAGGACCAGGGCGCAGCUCGCCAUCGUCGUCGCGCACGGCGCGCAGCAGGCUCCUCCUCCUUCCGCACCCCUUCCCUCGGCGCCUUCGCCGCUGCCAGCAGGCGGCCACCGCGUCGCCGGCAUGCAGAGGCAGGGAGGGCAGCAGGAUGCGCCGUUGAUUGAUCCGGAUGAGUUCCUCGACCUCGAUGGUUUUUGA